Molecule: non-coding RNA, 118 nt
Organism: Sordaria brevicollis
Lineage: Eukaryota; Fungi; Ascomycota; Sordariomycetes; Sordariales; Sordariaceae
Source: the annotation of a GenBank genome assembly
GCCUGCUUAGCAUAGUGGCUAAUGCGUUGCACUUGUAUAACCUUGUCCCAACUGGCUUGCCAAGCGGGUACAUUGUCUCGAUAUGCAAAGAUCACAGGUUCGAUUCCUGUAGUAGGCA